This 1533-nucleotide ribosomal RNA is filed under the name Bacteroides graminisolvens DSM 19988 = JCM 15093. RNAcentral's name for it is "SSU rRNA". It matches the Rfam family "Bacterial small subunit ribosomal RNA". The record is from RNAcentral. Lineage: Bacteria; Pseudomonadati; Bacteroidota; Bacteroidia; Bacteroidales; Bacteroidaceae.
ACUUUUACAAUGAAGAGUUUGAUCCUGGCUCAGGAUGAACGCUAGCUACAGGCUUAACACAUGCAAGUCGAGGGGCAGCAUUGGAGUAGCAAUACUUCAGAUGGCGACCGGCGCACGGGUGAGUAACACGUAUCCAACCUGCCGCUUACUCGGGGAUAGCCUUUCGAAAGAAAGAUUAAUACCCGAUGGUAUAAAGAGUUCGCAUGUUCUCUUUAUUAAAGAAUUUCGGUAAGCGAUGGGGAUGCGUUCCAUUAGAUUGUUGGCGGGGUAACGGCCCACCAAGUCUACGAUGGAUAGGGGUUCUGAGAGGAAGGUCCCCCACAUUGGAACUGAGACACGGUCCAAACUCCUACGGGAGGCAGCAGUGAGGAAUAUUGGUCAAUGGACGAGAGUCUGAACCAGCCAAGUAGCGUGAAGGAUGACUGCCCUAUGGGUUGUAAACUUCUUUUAUAAGGGAAUAAAGUGAGGGACGUGUCCCUUUUUGUAUGUACCUUAUGAAUAAGGAUCGGCUAACUCCGUGCCAGCAGCCGCGGUAAUACGGAGGAUCCAAGCGUUAUCCGGAUUUAUUGGGUUUAAAGGGAGCGUAGGUUGACAUAUAAGUCAGCUGUGAAAGUUUACGGCUCAACCGUGAAAUUGCAGUUGAUACUGUAUGUCUUGAGUGUACAAGAGGUGGGCGGAAUUCGUGGUGUAGCGGUGAAAUGCUUAGAUAUCACGAAGAACUCCAAUUGCGAAGGCAGCUCACUGGGGUACAACUGACACUGAGGCUCGAAAGUGUGGGUAUCAAACAGGAUUAGAUACCCUGGUAGUCCACACAGUAAACGAUGAAUACUCGCUGUUUGCGAUAUACAGUAAGCGGCCAAGCGAAAGCAUUAAGUAUUCCACCUGGGGAGUACGCCGGCAACGGUGAAACUCAAAGGAAUUGACGGGGGCCCGCACAAGCGGAGGAACAUGUGGUUUAAUUCGAUGAUACGCGAGGAACCUUACCCGGGCUUGAAUUGCAGAGGAACAUAGUUGAAAGAUUAUGGCCGCAAGGUCUCUGUGAAGGUGCUGCAUGGUUGUCGUCAGCUCGUGCCGUGAGGUGUCGGCUUAAGUGCCAUAACGAGCGCAACCCUUAUCAUUAGUUACUAACAGGUCAUGCUGAGGACUCUAGUGAGACUGCCGUCGUAAGAUGUGAGGAAGGUGGGGAUGACGUCAAAUCAGCACGGCCCUUACGUCCGGGGCUACACACGUGUUACAAUGGGGGGUACAGAGGGCAGCUACCGGGCGACCGGAUGCCAAUCCCAAAAACCUCUCUCAGUUCGGAUCGAAGUCUGCAACCCGACUUCGUGAAGCUGGAUUCGCUAGUAAUCGCGCAUCAGCCACGGCGCGGUGAAUACGUUCCCGGGCCUUGUACACACCGCCCGUCAAGCCAUGGGAGCCGGGGGUACCUGAAGUACGUAACCGCAAGGAGCGUCCUAGGGUAAAACUGGUGACUGGGGCUAAGUCGUAACAAGGUAGCCGUACCGGAAGGUGCGGCUGGAACACCUCCUUUCU